RNAcentral lists this ribosomal RNA (385 nucleotides) under uncultured bacterium. RNAcentral's name for it is "bacterial SSU rRNA". It matches the Rfam family "Bacterial small subunit ribosomal RNA", at positions 30 to 417 of the family's 1533-position model. The record is from RNAcentral.
AUUGAACGCUGGCGGCAUGCUUUACACAUGCAAGUCGAACGGCAGCGCGGGGCAACCUGGCGGCGAGUGGCGAACGGGUGAGUAAUAUAUCGGAACGUACCCAAGAGUGGGGGAUAACGUAGCGAAAGUUACGCUAAUACCGCAUACGAUCUAUGGAUGAAAGCAGGGGACCGCAAGGCCUUGUGCUCCUGGAGCGGCCGAUAUCUGAUUAGCUAGUUGGUAGGGUAAAGGCCUACCAAGGCUACGAUCAGUAGCUGGUCUGAGAGGACGACCAGCCACACUGGAACUGAGACACGGUCCAGACUCCUACGGGAGGCAGCAGUGGGGAAUUUUGGACAAUGGGCGCAAGCCUGAUCCAGCAAUGCCGCGUGAGUGAAGAAGGCCU